RNAcentral lists this unclassified non-coding RNA (231 nucleotides) under fungal sp. RNAcentral describes it as "partial internal transcribed spacer region". The stretch from base 1 to 46 matches the Rfam family "Eukaryotic small subunit ribosomal RNA", at positions 1786 to 1831 of the family's 1831-position model. The record is from RNAcentral. RNAcentral also lists the same sequence under 1 other name. Lineage: Eukaryota; Fungi.
AAGUCGUAACAAGGUCUCCGUUGGUGAACCAGCGGAGGGAUCAUUACCGAGUUUACAACUCCCAAACCCCACUGUGAACAUACCCAUUCUGUUGCCUCGGCGGGGUGGCCACCCGCCGGAGGACCCCAAACCCUUCUGUUUCUCACAGCGGUUGUCUUCUGAGUGGCCCCGUAGCGGGCGAUAACAAACAAAAAUGAAUCAAAACUUUCAACAACGGAUCUCUUGGUUCUG